UACGAAGGGUGCAAGCGUUACUCGGAUUUACUGGGCGUAAAGCGCGCGCAGGCGGAUAUAUAAGUCAGAUGUGAAAUCUCGGGGCUCAACCCCGAAACUGCGUCUGAAACUGUAUAUCUAGAGUCUUGGAGAGGGAAACGGAAUUUCACAUGUAGGGGUAAAAUCCGUAGAGAUGUGAAGGAACACCAGAGGCGAAGGCGGUUUCCUGGCCAAGUACUGACGCUGAGGCGCGAAAGCGUGGGGAGCAAACAGG
This 253-nucleotide unclassified non-coding RNA is filed under the name uncultured Bacteriovoracaceae bacterium. RNAcentral describes it as "contains 16S-23S intergenic spacer region". It matches the Rfam family "Bacterial small subunit ribosomal RNA", at positions 524 to 776 of the family's 1533-position model. Lineage: Bacteria; Pseudomonadati; Bdellovibrionota; Bacteriovoracia; Bacteriovoracales; Bacteriovoracaceae. The record is from RNAcentral.